GAGUUAGUUGAAGAAAACCGAGUUUGAAUGCUCUUUUGAAACGACAAGAACGAGCUUUGAAGAAGUAUGAGGGUGAGGAGGCACAACUACCCCAGCUAAUCAAAACGCAUAGUGAUGAAAUGCGUGUCUUGCAGACCAAAUAUAAGCAGUUGAAAACAAAAUGUCAUGAUAUGGAACAAAAAUUGAAGGGACGGGACAAUGAACUUAAUUGUCUUCGAGAACAGCACAAACAUUUGCUGCAUCUGUCCAAAGAUAAGCACCUUGGGAACGUGAGAAACUCAGACAGCAAGUAGAGGAGCUUCUGGAAACAGUCAACGCUCAAGAAGGGAAAAUCAAGACUUUAAUGAGGAAAGUUGAAUUGGAGAGCAAGAAUUAUAAACAUCAGUUGAGGUUAGAGAUUGGAAAACACCGAGAGACGCAGCGGCAACUCUCUCAAGCUUUAUCUACAGUUCAAAAACUAGAAGCAGCUCUGGAGAAAUAUUUAACAACAUCCAACAGGACACUUCAUUUCACGAAUAAUAGUGUUGUAGGACCUCUUCCAGCAAUAUCCAAACAGCUUCUAUCCAACACUCAAACAUCACCUAUGAAUACAAAAUUUGAGAAAAACUGUGCUCAUGAACUCUCAGGUCAAGAAAAAAAUGAAAGCGACUCGAAUCCAGCCACCCUCUCAUCAUCUGUGCCAAAUUCUGAGUAUGAAGGCAGUGAAGUUUCUGGCUCAAACGCAAAAAUGUCCAACAGUUCAUCCAACUCUCGUAAAACAAAAUCAAAAGGAUGGGCACUGUUCUCUUGCACCUAUGCAGCAGUCUUAAGAGAGCCGGAAAGCCAAAUUGCUGGAUCAGAAACUUUGACUUCCUGGUCUGUCAGCUGUCAAACAUGAAGCAAGUCAACUCCCCAGAAGGCCUCUGCGAAAAUAUUUGCACUUGUUUUUCUUUUUCUCAAACUGCAUCAAAAUGCAUUUCUUCAAGUACACUGCAGCAUGUCGUAAAAGUUUAAAGUGUAAAAAGAGUGUUAUCAAUUUUUUAAUGAAUUUUUAAGCUACGUAAAAAGGUGGAAAGGAUCAAAAGAGGUGUAAAAAUGUAAUAUUAUCAAAUUCAUGAUAAAAUAAAUCUAGUUCGAGAAAGGAAUCCUAUCUACAACAUGCUAACUACUCCAUCAACCGAUCUCAUGAGAUAGUGCAAGCGUGUCGACACAAUCAGUUCUUGGUGCUUCACAUAACUGUUUCUGUCCGAAAUAUGGGGCUUGGAAGGGCUUCUCAGAGGUAUUUUGGUAAAAAUACUGAUCGAUAUCAACACAAGUCACAAGUAAAAUCGUUAAAAUUGGGAGUGGACUAUAGUCCGGGACUAUAAGCUUAUAGGGACUAUAGACUAUAAUCCCAACCUCCCCAGGAAGUAUUUUUUUAAAAUUUUGGUUUUUCGUGUCUUACCACAGAAAUAGGUGUUAGCUGCUCAAAUCCUUUUUGUUUGUAUACUUUUUGACCUAUAAAAAAUAUCAUGGCAGCACUUCAAAAUUCUGUCUCUAAUCCCAGAACUCAGAAAUUCUCACCAACUUGAUGGGAUUGGAAAAAGCAAGUAGAUGAGUUGAUGCCGAUAUGAUGGUUGCAGCUUACGAACAUUGGAAAUAAGAGAAGCCAAAAUUUCUUACUCAGAAGAGAAGUGAGAGACUAGUUUCAGGAUCAUUAACCAUCCUCACGCUCAGGUGUAGCCUCUCUAGUUCUGAAUUUCUCUAAACGACAGCUGAAUAAUUGGCAUCCAAUUAGCUGUUUUGUAAUUUUUUUUUGUUUACCCAAAUUGGCGAGAAUUGUCCGUUCACCAGAGACAGCUCUCUGCAGUAUUGCUAUUAUAUUCUCAUGAUUCAAGUCAUUAAAUAGGCAUGCUGAUCACUCAGUAAUUAGCUGCCUAGCAUCACAAGUAAAAGUCUUAAAAAAUUCUUCUUGGGAAAAUUAAUAUGUGCUAGCAAGCUUUUUAUGCUGAAAAUAAGAAGAAAUUAAAAAUGUGUGGUUUGAGUGUUCAAUCCUUUUUUAUAGCAAUAUGAGUUUCAAAGAUUAAAGUACCCAGAGGUAGUUCUAUUAUUACCUGCUGUUUCUCAUGCGAAAGCGUACCUUCUCCGUUAAGUAUGGACUCUCCGGGCUGAUUUUCGAAAUUUUGUGUUUGUUGGUGACUAGACAUUGAAUAAAAUGAAGUAGAGUCUUAUCAUUGGUUUAUUUCAUUGCUCAAAGUUCACAAGUUCUUUUUAUCAUAGUGUAAUUACUGGGCACGACAGUCGACCAGCUAGACUCCUCCUUAGUCGUGCUUCAGUUUUUCUAAGUUUACAUUAUUUUCACUCAAGGUCGAGGUUCAAAGUCAAGAGAGUUGUUUCAUUAGAUUGAAGACUGAUUCAAAUAUGAACAUAGGAAAUGAAACCGGAAACUCUUUUUUUUCUCUCUUUUUUCCAAGUAUAAGAUUUCUCAUUUUUUCUAGACUCCACACUGACUUCAAUAUCUUAAUGAAGUACUUUAAGUUUUCAGAAAAAUGUUUCAGAACUUGAUUGAUCGAUGAAUGAGAGAUUCUCUACGUGGAAAUCGUACACUUUUAAUUUCCAAUCAUCUUUAGAAAUUACCGGUAAUAAUAAAAUUAUGCAGGUGCUUUUCAUCCAGAGGUACUAAUGCAUUAGAAGCUGAAUGAUUCUUGGAGUACAAGUACCUGGAUACAUUUUCAGAGAAUCCUACAUAUACAUUUUUUGAGGUCAGGAGGAAAAUCUCUAGAAGUAGAAGAAACUUAAUAAUUACACAAACUGGAUUUAAUAGAACCAAUCAAGUUUUGUGUAGGAUUCCAUUUUAUCAAGGUUGUAUUGGAAAAAAAUCAAUUUGUAGAAACUCUUACAAAAUUCUUUUAGUAUUUGCUCAGGAAAUCCUUUUCAAUCAGUUUUUUUUUUUUAAAUUCUGUGAAAUUUACUGAUUUGAGUUUUUUUUAAAAUGAAGAUUACUUUUUAAGAUUGAGAAGAUUUGAGUUUUUUGACAUUUUUUGAAAAUUACAGCCGACGUCUACUUUAAGAGUCUUAGUAUAACACUUUUUACCAAAAUUUUACCUCUCAUGAAUUCUACUGAAUGAAGUACUCACAAAGGGUUUUCUGGAACGAAAUUUGUACUUCAUCGUUUUUUAAGAGAUGUGUUUCUAAAAUUUAUGAGUUUUCUGAGGUUAUUUUUUUAAUAUUUGGUGCUCAUAGAGAAUGUCUUUGCUGAAAUAUGCUGCUCUUGGGAGAACCUUCUUUAGUCUACUUUAGUCCAUAUGCCCUAGUAGUUAAAAAAUAUUUAUGUAGCAGGCUGAAUCAUUUCUGACUCAUGCCACACAGACUAGUUGAAAGACAAUUUAUUUAUAAAAUAAAGGAAUUUUUUUCACUUCCUCCGCCUCCCAGCUAAGAAAAACGGCAAGUAUUCCCGCCUUUCAAAAUGAGGGAAACUUAUGUCUGCAAAUUUUAUGUUGGCAUUACGUACUUAUAGGGUGUCCCAGAAUUUCCCAAUUUUUUCUCUUCAACUGGCAACCCCCUCCCCCCUUAUUGUGACACUUGAAAGAAGAUGAGGAAAGAAAAGUUUUGGUGCUAUUCGCAGGUCGCCAUUUUGAUUUUUAACAACAUGGCGGCCGGUCUAAGUUCAGAGUCCAGAAUCCUAUUGCCUAUCCAAGAUUUGGGUUAAUAAUUGGUAUCUGAGGAUAUUUCAGCAUGACAAAGCGGGCUCCCGUUUUCGUGCAUCAGUAAAUUGCUG
Molecule: long non-coding RNA, 3736 nt
Filed under: Bemisia tabaci
Lineage: Eukaryota; Metazoa; Arthropoda; Insecta; Hemiptera; Aleyrodidae
Description: lncRNA ENSSSA3NGG008101
Source: RNAcentral